GACGAACCGUGCGAACGUUGUUCGGAAUCACUGGGCUUAAAGGGCGCGUAGGCGGGCACAAAAGUCAGAGGUGAAAGCCCCCGGCUCAACCGGGGAAGUGCCUUUGAUACUGUGUGUCUCGAGGGGGAUAGGGGCGUGCGGAACUUCCGGUGGAGCGGUGAAAUGCGUAGAUAUCGGAAGGAACACCGGUGGCGAAAGCGGCGCGCUGGAGUCCCUUCUGACGCUGAGGCGCGAAAGCCAGGGGAGCGAACGGG
RNAcentral lists this ribosomal RNA (254 nucleotides) under uncultured bacterium. Its description in RNAcentral is "partial 16S ribosomal RNA". It matches the Rfam family "Bacterial small subunit ribosomal RNA", at positions 524 to 776 of the family's 1533-position model. The record is from RNAcentral.